This 33-nucleotide ribosomal RNA is filed under the name Coffea charrieriana. RNAcentral's name for it is "partial 26S ribosomal RNA". Lineage: Eukaryota; Viridiplantae; Streptophyta; Magnoliopsida; Gentianales; Rubiaceae. The record is from RNAcentral.
UACCCGCUGAGUUUAAGCAUAUCAAUAAGCGGA